RNAcentral lists this ribosomal RNA (859 nucleotides) under Neohelicascus chiangraiensis. RNAcentral describes it as "partial large subunit ribosomal RNA". It matches the Rfam family "Eukaryotic large subunit ribosomal RNA", at positions 81 to 946 of the family's 3401-position model. Lineage: Eukaryota; Fungi; Ascomycota; Dothideomycetes; Pleosporales; Morosphaeriaceae. The record is from RNAcentral.
UAGUAACGGCGAGUGAAGCGGCAAUAGCUCAAAUUUGAAAUCUGGCUCUGCUCUAGGGUCCGAGUUGUAAUUUGUAGAGGGUGCUUUGGCACUGAUGGCGGUCUAAGUUCCUUGGAACAGGACAUCACAGAGGGUGAGAAUCCCGUAUGUGGUCGCUAAUCUUUGCCGUGUAAAGCCCCUUCAACGAGUCGAGUUGUUUGGGAAUGCAGCUCUAAAUGGGAGGUAAAUUUCUUCUAAAGCUAAAUAUUGGCCAGAGACCGAUAGCGCACAAGUAGAGUGAUCGAAAGAUGAAAAGCACUUUGGAAAGAGAGUCAAAAAGCACGUGAAAUUGUUGAAAGGGAAGCGCUUGCCGCCAGACUUGCCUGCAGUUGCUCACCUAGGCGCUCAGCCUGGGGCACUCUUCUGCAGGCAGGCCAGCAUCAGUUUGGGCAGCCGGAUAAAGGUCUCUGACACGUUCCUUCUACCUUUGUGUAGAUGGCCAUAUAGGGGAGACGUCAUGCGGUUAGCCUGGACUGAGGUCCGCGCAUUGCUAGGAUGCUGGCGUAAUGGCUGCAAGCGGCCCGUCUUGAAACACGGACCAAGGAGUCUAACAUCUAUGCGAGUGUUUGGGUGUCAAGCCCAAGCGCGCAAUAAACGUGAACGGAGGUGGGAACCCUCUUUUGGGGGUGCACCAUCGACCGAUCCUGAUGUCUUCGGAUGGAUUUGAGUAAGAGCAUAGCUGUUGGGACCCGAAAGAUGGUGAACUAUGCUUGAAUAGGGUGAAGCCAGAGGAAACUCUGGUGGAGGCUCGCAGCGGUUCUGACGUGCAAAUCGAUCGUCAAAUUUGGGCAUAGGGGCGAAAGACUAAUCGAACUAUCUA